This 414-nucleotide long non-coding RNA is filed under the name Crocodylus porosus (Australian saltwater crocodile). Its description in RNAcentral is "lncRNA (ENSCPRG00005004533.1)". The record is from RNAcentral. Lineage: Eukaryota; Metazoa; Chordata; Crocodylia; Crocodylidae.
AAAAUACCUAAAUCAAGAACUGGCUACAGAAGCCUGUGGUGUUUUGGGCUCUGCGUUUUGUGCUUAUUCAAAUGGCAGCAUCUCGGCAGCAGGCACUGAGGCCGGACUGCACCAGUUCCCACCAUGCUGAGGGGCCCCAUAGUGGAAACGCACCCUUUGUCCCCAUGUAACAAAAAAGCAUGGAGUCUUCAGCUCGGGGCAGGAGGAAGUAAUCCUCCAAGAGUGCCCUCACUCACGGCUAAGAUCCUUGUUGGACUUCAAGGGACACUCCUGCAUCAAGUCUCACAUCAGGGCAGAAGGGAACUGGAGCAGUGGGCUGCUUGUACAGCACAAGUAAAGGGAUCUGUACUGGACAGGGAAGUGAGAGCACACAUUGUUCCCCAACAGCCCCGUGGAGAUUGCCUGGGGACAUAG